GUGAGGAAUAUUGCGCAAUGGAGGCAACUCUGACGCAGCCAUGCCGCGUGCAGGAAGAAGGCGCUACGCGUUGUAAACUGCUUUUAACCGGGAAGAAACCCCAGGACGUGUCCUGGGUUGACGGUACCGGAGGAAUAAGCACCGGCUAACUUCGUGCCAGCAGCCGCGGUAAUACGAAGGGUGCAAGCGUUAUCCGGAUUCAUUGGGUUUAAAGGGUGCGUAGGCGAAGCGUUAAGUCAGUGGUGAAAUCCUGCAGCUUAACUGUAGACGUGCCAUUGAUACUGGCGCUCUUGAGUGCGCUUGAAGUGGGCGGAAUGUGCCGUGUAGCGGUGAAAUGCUUAGAUAUGGCACAGAACACCAAUUGCGAAGGCAGCUCACUAAGGCGAUACUGACGCUGAGGCACGAAAGCGUGGGGAUCGAACAGGAUUAGAUACCCUUGUAGUCC
This 445-nucleotide ribosomal RNA is filed under the name uncultured bacterium. RNAcentral describes it as "partial 16S ribosomal RNA". It matches the Rfam family "Bacterial small subunit ribosomal RNA", at positions 354 to 796 of the family's 1533-position model. The record is from RNAcentral.